GAUGAACGCUGGCGGCGUGCCUAAUACAUGCAAGUCGAACGCGAGCAGCAAUGCUCGAGUGGCGAACGGGUGAGUAAUACAUAAGUAACCUGCCCUAGACAGGGGGAUAACUGCUGGAAACGGCAGCUAAGACCGCAUAGGUAUGGACACUGCAUGGUGACCAUAUUAAAAGUGCCAAGGCACUGGUAGAGGAUGGACUUAUGGCGCAUUAGCUGGUUGGUGAGGUAACGGCUCACCAAGGCGACGAUGCAUAGCCGAGUUGAGAGACUGAUCGGCCACAUUGGGACUGAGACACGGCCCAAA
Molecule: ribosomal RNA, 303 nt
Filed under: uncultured bacterium
Lineage: Bacteria
Description: bacterial SSU rRNA
Rfam family: Bacterial small subunit ribosomal RNA
Source: RNAcentral